CGGGGCGGUCGUUAAUUUUGUAUCCAGGAAUUUCGUCAAGCCAGACGAAACCACGGGUUUUGUUUGCGUCCCACCAGAGAGAACUGUAGCGGCUGGGGUCCUUCCAUGUCGCCGCUGGUCCGCCGCUGCCGGAGGGGGUGUGGGGGGUGGUUAGGGGNUGUUAGUGGGACCGAAAUCGUGUUUGGACUCGGGCACUGGUACGGUUCGUUUUGGGGCGGGGAAACGGAGGCGGAGCGAGUGGUUUUGGGGGGAGAAGGCUGUGUAGAGGACGAGAGAGAUUGAGGAGACGAGAAAGGAGAGGAUGAAAAUUCUCGCGAAAAUAUCGCACGGUUUAUCGAGGAGAGAAAAUAAUUUGAGCUUUUUGACCGGGUCGUGACUCGGUUGCAUACGAUUCUGACUCAUUUUCCUCUUCUUGUUGAAAAUUUAUCGCUCCCCGUGGAGUUCUUAGUUAACAAAA
This 457-nucleotide unclassified non-coding RNA is filed under the name Hevea brasiliensis (rubber tree). The record is from RNAcentral. Lineage: Eukaryota; Viridiplantae; Streptophyta; Magnoliopsida; Malpighiales; Euphorbiaceae.